Molecule: ribosomal RNA, 602 nt
Filed under: uncultured bacterium
Lineage: Bacteria
Description: bacterial SSU rRNA
Rfam family: Bacterial small subunit ribosomal RNA
Source: RNAcentral
UAAAGAUUCAUCGCUGAUAGAUAGGCAUGCGUUCCAUUAGGCAGUUGGCGGGGUAACGGCCCACCAAACCGACGAUGGAUAGGGGUUCUGAGAGGAAGGUCCCCCACAUUGGUACUGAGACACGGACCAAACUCCUACGGGAGGCAGCAGUGAGGAAUAUUGGUCAAUGGGCGUAAGCCUGAACCAGCCAAGUCGCGUGAGGGAUGAAGGUUCUAUGGAUCGUAAACCUCUUUUAUAAGGGAAUAAAGUGCGGGACGUGUCCCGUUUUGUAUGUACCUUAUGAAUAAGGAUCGGCUAACUCCGUGCCAGCAGCCGCGGUAAUACGGAGGAUCCGAGCGUUAUCCGGAUUUAUUGGGUUUAAAGGGUGCGUAGGCGGCCUUUUAAGUCAGCGGUGAAAGUCUGUGGCUCAACCAUAGAAUUGCCGUUGAAACUGGGAGGCUUGAGUAUGUUUGAGGCAGGCGGAAUGCGUGGUGUAGCGGUGAAAUGCUUAGAUAUCACGCAGAACCCCGAUUGCGAAGGCAGCCUGCCAAGUCAUGACUGACGCUGAUGCACGAAAGCGUGGGGAUCAAACAGGAUUAGAUACCCUGGUAGUCCACGCAGUA